Molecule: RNase P RNA, 293 nt
Filed under: Methanomassiliicoccales archaeon
Lineage: Archaea; Methanobacteriati; Thermoplasmatota; Thermoplasmata; Methanomassiliicoccales
Description: RNase P RNA component
Rfam family: Archaeal RNase P
About the family: Ribonuclease P (RNase P) is a ubiquitous endoribonuclease, found in archaea, bacteria and eukarya as well as chloroplasts and mitochondria.
Source: RNAcentral
AGGAGAGGGAGGGCGGCCGACGGUAGGACUCCGGUCCAGCUGAGGAAGGUCCCCCCUCGACGAGACAGGUGGACCGCGUGAGCGGUCAGGCGAGAGCCUGGGCAAGGGCACAGAAACGGCACAGCCCCGACCGAGGAUGAUUCGCUCGGCGAUGACGUUGGUCGGGGAUCUGGUGAAACGGCGACUCCCCACCCGAGCAAGUCCAAACAGCCGGGUUGAACGUCUCGAGACCGGCGGGUAGGGCGCUUAGUUGAAUGCCGCCUGAAACAGAAGGGGGCCUACUACCCUCACCU